CCUACGGGAGGCAGCAGUGGGGAAUAUUGCACAAUGGGCGCAAGCCUGAUGCAGCGACGCCGCGUGAGGGAUGACGGCCUUCGGGUUGUAAACCUCUUUCAGCAGGGACGAAGCGCAAGUGACGGUACCUGCAGAAGAAGCACCGGCCAACUACGUGCCAGCAGCCGCGGUAAUACGUAGGGUGCAAGCGUUGUCCGGAAUUACUGGGCGUAAAGAGCUCGUAGGCGGUUUGUCGCGUCGUCUGUGAAAACCAGCAGCUCAACUGUUGGCUUGCAGGCGAUACGGGCAGACUUGAGUAUUUCAGGGGAGACUGGAAUUCCUGGUGUAGCGGUGAAAUGCGCAGAUAUCAGGAGGAACACCGGUGGCGAAGGCGAGUCUCUGGGAAAUAACUGACGCUGAGGAGCGAAAGCGUGGGUAGCGAACAGGAUUAGAUACCCUGGUAGUCCACGCCGUAAACGGUGGGCGCUAGGUGUGGGUUUCCUUCCACGGGAUCCGUGCCGUAGCUAACGCAUUAAGCGCCCGCUGGGGAGUACGGCCGCAAGGCUAAAACGUCAAAUUGAAAUUGACGG
This 569-nucleotide ribosomal RNA is filed under the name uncultured bacterium. RNAcentral's name for it is "bacterial SSU rRNA". It matches the Rfam family "Bacterial small subunit ribosomal RNA", at positions 338 to 916 of the family's 1533-position model. The record is from RNAcentral.